Molecule: RNA transcript, 3271 nt
Organism: Ricinus communis (castor bean)
Lineage: Eukaryota; Viridiplantae; Streptophyta; Magnoliopsida; Malpighiales; Euphorbiaceae
Gene name: putative pentatricopeptide repeat-containing protein At4g17915
Exons: 5
Source: RefSeq, a predicted model, not a curated record
CUUUCAUUGUAAGGCGUGAUUCUUAUAUUUCACUGAAUCUCAGGGGUUACUGUAUUUUAACCUUUUUAUUAAUGAAAUGAAUUCAUCACCAUCGUCUAUUCUUAUUAGGCUUUCAAUAUUAACCAUUAGAUAAGACAUUUCUAGAGAUGCUUCACUCUUGCCCAGCAAACACUAAACAAGAGAGACAGAGACUUCAUCUCUGGUUAGGUUAUUCACUCCGGUGAACCACCACCACUGCCGCCGCCCACCUCUCCUCGCCAUGUACACCACCCGCGGCAUCGCAUGUUCUGUACAGCCGGAGGAGAAAUGCUGAAUCAGUUGCUUCAUUGCUUCAUCACACCGCCUGCACAUGUUGUAGAAUGGUCAGGAGAUUAUCAACUAGAUUAUUGAAUAUAAGUAUAGCAUCCCUUUGCAAGGCUAAGGAAUUGAAUAAAGCUGAAUCAGUUAUUAUAGAUGGAAUACGAUUAGGAGUGCUUCCUGAUGUUGUCACUUAUAAUACACUCAUUGAUGCUUACUCUCGCUUUGUUAGCUUCAAUGCUGCCUAUUCGCUCCUUAAUAGAAUGCGAGAAGCUAGUAUAAGCCCUGAUGUUGUUACCUACAAUUCUUUGAUUGCUGGUGCUGCUAGAAACUGUUUGUUAUUGGAAUCCCUUAAUCUAUUUGAUGAAAUGCUUAACAUGGGUAUAGUUCCAGAUGUUUGGAGUUACAAUACUUUGAUGCAUUGCUUCUUUAAGUUAGGAAAAGCUGAAGAAGCGAAUGAGGUUCUCCGUCAAAUUUUUGGUCAUGGUUUAUCUCCAUGUCCAACUACUUUUAAUAUUAUGAUUAAUGGUCUUUGCAAGAAUGGUUUUACUAGUAAUGCGCUCAUGCUGUUCAGGAGUUUAAAGCAACAUGGGUUUGUUCCACAAUUAAUUACUUAUAAUAUUCUUAUCAAUGGGUUGUGUAAAGACAGGAGAUUGAGGGCGGCAAGGAGUAUGCUCAAAGAGCUUGAGACAUCUGGUUAUGUGCCAAAUGCCAUAACUUAUACUACGGUCAUGAAGUUCUGCUUUAGAUCAAGGCGGUUUAAACAAGGACUUGAGAUAUUGCAAGAGAUGAUUGAUAAGGGUUAUACUUUUGAUGGUUUUGCAUAUUGCACGGUUGUUGGUGUUUUAAUCAAGACUGGCAGGCUUGAAGAGGCAACUGAAUAUAUGAGGCAGAUGAUAAAAAAUGGUAUUGAGCAUGAUUUAGCAUCUUAUAAUACACUAAUUAAUUUGUAUUGUAAACAAGGUAAUUUGGAAGCUGCCUAUCAAUUGCUUGAUGAAAUAGAAAAAGAAGGUCUACAAUGUGAUGAAUACACGCACACAAUUUUGAUAAAUUGGAUGUGUAAGGCUGGUAAUAUAUUGGGGGCAAGGCGACAUAUGCAGCAUAUGAAUAUGAUGGGCUUCGAUUCAUGCUUGGUUGCUUUAAAUUGUAUGGUUGAUGGUUUGUGUAAAAAUGGUCAGAUUGAUCAUGCCGUAAAACUAUUUGAAUCAAUGAAGAUGAGGGAUUCAUUUACGUACUCUUCCUUGGUUCACAAUCUUUGCAAGAAUGGAAGGUUCCAUCGUGCAUCCAAACUCUUGCUCUCUUGUUUGAGAAGUGGCAUGAAAAUACUACCAUCAGCUCAACGGGUUGUUAUAAGUGGCCUUCGUUAUUCUGGUUUUCAAAAAGAAGCAAGGAAGCUUAAAUCGAAAAUUAAAUUGGCUCGGAUGUUGCAUCACUGAUUUUCUGAGGCCCUUUAAAUUGUAUCUGGAACAUGGAAUGAUUUGGUGGUGAAAUUUACAAUCUAGUGAUCAUUCUUUAGGAUAUGAAGCUUGAUCAGAACUGCCAAAUGUAUAUCCCCCACGUAGUUGUGUAAAAACAAAGAUGUUUUCUGCUAUUAAGAUUUAUUAUAACAAGAUGCGGAUUGGAGGUACUGAAUCCAGGUUAUUGGAAGACAACUGCUUUUCACUCAUUUUCACAUACACUGCGAUACUAUUGGUAUAAAAUUGCAUUGUUUCAAGAACCCAAUUUUGCUGAGCAUAUGUUUGGAUUAUGCAUGGGAAGUGGACUCAUGGCAGUUGCUACUGCUGAUAGAUCACAGUUUUUGGUGCAGGAUGCAAGUGGUGGUUUUUAUUGGCUAUUCUUAGUUGAUUAAAAAGGAAUAUAGAAAAUGUCAUAAUUUGGGUUUCUAUCGUGGUAUCAAUAGCUCCUUUGGAUCAGGAUGUUGAGUUUAGUGGUAUGUAAGUGGAUUGAACGGCAAAAGAAUGCCUUUGGAAAAAGGAAUAAGAAGAGCAGAUUACUUCCAUUUCUACUUGAGUAAUGGAUCACAAUUGGCAACCAAUGUAAUUUCUUGCUGGAUCAUUAAACCUUCUGAAUCAAUAGUUAUCUUGACUGAAAUAUUUUUAUCAAGGUAUGAAGGAUAGAACUCAGCUUGAUGCUGCAGCUCCCAUUGUCAUUUGAAAUAGUUCUGACUUCACUGUGCAUUAUCUCACGGUAGAACUUGGCAGCCUCCUGUAUAAACCAAGCUGCAGGGUGUUUUGAUGUUUACUUGAACCAUUUUGGUGGAAAGAUCUUGCCUUCUUUUCCAGAGCUUAGAUUUUGAAGUUAGUCAGCAUUGCCCAUUUCUCAAGUUCUUUCAAUUUGAGCUAACAAUUUUACCUGCAAUAUGGCUAGGAAGUUUGCAGAUUCUUCAACAAGCCGAGAAAGCUUUCUCCUCUCCGUUUUGGCAAUCAUGUUAAAGUGUAAAGUCUGCAGAGUUCAAGACUUGCAUCGGAAGACACCGCACCAUGAGACAAUAUUCAAAAACUAUUCAAGGCAUCAUUAAUUUAAGACAAUAUGAUUGAUCGUUUACAUAAUCUCUAAGCUCUAUCUCAGCACAUUGCUCACAUUGCCUUGUCAAGGAAGCCGAGCGCGAUGUUUCCUACCUCCUUCAACUCAGCUGUAAAUUCUUUUUUGUAUCCCAUUUUUUCCUCAGAUUUAACCAAAGCCGUCUUGUCCUAUUGGGAAGCAAACUCCUGUUGGCUCUAGAUAUCUUGGUUUAAUCACCGGAGAGCAUCCCAUUUUUACAAGAAUGAUGGAACGUGAUUGUGCAAACUCUGCACCAACAUAUCUAAAAUAAGUGAUAUAUUUAUACCGAUUAUCAGAUGGGGCACCUACUAAAAGUCUGAAAAUAAAAUUCUAUAGCUUCAAAACGUUACAUAUCAAAUUAUAGGAUUGUUACCAGUGUAAAUUUCAAUCACAGGAAAAAAAGAAACAGAACAGAAAGAGCCUCUUCCUUUUA